CCUACUGGCGGCAGCAGUGGGGGAUAUUGGACAAUGGGGGAAACCCUGAUCCAGCGACACCGCGUGAGGGAAGAAGUAUUUCGGUAUGUAAAGCUCUGUCAGCAGGGAAGAAAGAAAUGACGGUACCUGACCAAGAAGCCGCUGCGAACUACGUGCCAGCAGCCGCGGUAAUACGUAGGGGGCAAGCGUUCUCCGUAAUUACUGGGUGUAAAGGGAGCGUAGACGGUGAUGCAAGUCUGGAGUGAAAGGCGGGGGCCUAACCCCCGGACUGCUUUGGAAACUGUGGACCUUGAGUGCAGGAGAGGUAAGCGGAAUUCCUGGUGUAGCGGUGAAAUGCGUAGAGAUUAGGAGGAACACCAGUGGCGAAGGCGGCUUACUGGACUUUAACUGACGUUGAGGCACGAAAGCGUGGGGAGCAAACAGGAUUAGAUACCCCAGUAGUC
This 443-nucleotide ribosomal RNA is filed under the name uncultured bacterium. RNAcentral's name for it is "partial 16S ribosomal RNA". It matches the Rfam family "Bacterial small subunit ribosomal RNA", at positions 338 to 795 of the family's 1533-position model. The record is from RNAcentral.